RNAcentral lists this ribosomal RNA (457 nucleotides) under uncultured Methylomirabilota bacterium. RNAcentral's name for it is "bacterial SSU rRNA". It matches the Rfam family "Bacterial small subunit ribosomal RNA", at positions 977 to 1434 of the family's 1533-position model. The record is from RNAcentral. Lineage: Bacteria; Methylomirabilota (SeqCode).
GGGCUUGACAUCCCACGAACCUGCUGGAAACAGUGGGGUCAGUUCGGCUGGAUCGGAGACAGGUGCUGCAUGGCUGUCGUCAGCUCGUGUCGUGAGAUGUUGGGUUAAGUCCCGCAACGAGCGCAACCCUCGUCCUUAGUUGCCAUCAUCCAGUUGGGCACUCUAGGGAGACUGCCGGUGUCAAACCGGAGGAAGGUGGGGAUGACGUCAAGUCAGCAUGGCCUUUAUGUCUGGGGCCACACACGUGCUGCAAUGGCCGGUACAAACCGUUGCGAGCCCGCAAGGGGGAGCUAAUCGGAGAAAGCCGGUCUCAGUUCGGAUUGCAGGCUGCAACUCGCCUGCAUGAAGUUGGAAUCGCUAGUAAUCGCGGAUCAGCACGCCGCGGUGAAUACGUUCCCGGGCCUUGUACACACCGCCCGUCACAUCACGAAAGCCGGCUGUACUCGAAGUCGCUGAG